Molecule: non-coding RNA, 73 nt
Organism: Phrynosoma platyrhinos (Desert horned lizard)
Lineage: Eukaryota; Metazoa; Chordata; Lepidosauria; Squamata; Phrynosomatidae
Source: the annotation of a GenBank genome assembly
GCCAGUGUGGUGUAGUGGUUUGAGUGAUAAACUAGGGCUCUGGACAACCAGGGUUCAAAUCCCUGCUCAGCCA